Molecule: small nucleolar RNA, 100 nt
Filed under: Setaria italica (foxtail millet)
Lineage: Eukaryota; Viridiplantae; Streptophyta; Magnoliopsida; Poales; Poaceae
Also listed under: 1 other name
Description: snoRNA snoZ119
Rfam family: Small nucleolar RNA Z119
About the family: Z119 is a member of the C/D class of snoRNA which contain the C (UGAUGA) and D (CUGA) box motifs. Most of the members of the box C/D family function in directing site-specific 2'-O-methylation of substrate RNAs.
Source: Rfam by way of RNAcentral
UUUUGGACAUGAUGUUAUCUAUCAGAGGCUGUUUCUGAGGAUGAGCCAUAGCUUCUCCCAGUGCUGCAAAAAAAAACUGAUUUGCCGUUCUGAUCAAAAA